GAUUUAUGGAAGCUGUAAGCAUUCAAGUGCAGCUUGUUAUACCUAAGUCCUGUGUUAGUCCUCAUCUUCAGUUUCCUCCUACUCUGCUUCCAGCUGCCAGCACAAAAGUGCUUCAGCGCUGUUAGCAUUAUAAUUCAAAUAAAUUAUUCAAAUCUUUAAAUUGUAACAGCAUGCCCACCGGAAUAUCCACCGUGGGUACUUAGUCACCCAUUAGCAUCCAUCAAGAUUAAGGAACUACAUCCGAAAUGUGCGCACAGUCCUUUUCUUGCACUCAACAUUUUUGCACUACUCAUUGCUGAAUCAGUGCCAUCUAAAUCGCCUCUACGCUCUCUGUCAUCUUUGGGAACCCCCCACCCUCCCCAAGACCAACUCUCCCAAACCAACUCCCACUUAAAAGCUUUUCCUUGUCAGAUAAUUCAUUUGCAGCUCACUGUUCAUGUAGUAAGAAGUCUUGGAAAUCGAUUUUGUUUCCUUUGUACUAUUUUUCUUCCCCCAAUCUGUUCUAUCCUUAUAGGUGUCUCCAUAGGAAUUGGCAAAGGAGUGUCCACUCGCCCCCUGCUUCCUUGCCAGGGGCACAGGUCCCCGAUAAAGGAGAAAGCCUGGUGUGGAAGAAGAAAUGUAGUUGAUUUACGAAGGCAUGACAAAUCCUGCAAGCGAAAAUUGUGCUUGGGAAACAGCCUUCCAACAUCAAAAAUAACAUGAUUUUAUAGGAACAAGAUUUUGGAGGAUCUUUUGUCAUAUAUACACAUAUUUUUCCACAUCUUAGUUUUGCGUUUCUACUGUGCAUUUAGCAAAGUCAGAAUCGAAGUAGCAAUAGCAAGAGUCUCUAGAACCUAAUGGAAAAAUUGACUUUUCGUAAGAGUACAUGCUGAAGCAACAGUAAGUCUGCUAGAAUCCGGCAUUUAACUUUCAUACUAUAGUGCUUAGUCAAAGGUUAACAUUCUUUAAUUAAGUACAGAUAUUUUAGGCCUUUGCAUGGAAUUCAGCUUACACUAGGGGUGUGCUAAUGUGAUCUCCUCUUUAUCAUUUUUGAAGAAUUCUCUUUAUAUCCCAAUAAUAAAUUGAUUACAUUCAA
This is a long non-coding RNA of Podarcis raffonei (Aeolian wall lizard), 1075 nucleotides long. RefSeq lists it as uncharacterized. The transcript has 2 exons. NCBI's taxonomy places the organism in Eukaryota, Metazoa, Chordata, Lepidosauria, Squamata, Lacertidae. The record is from RefSeq and is a predicted model, not a curated record.